This 1000-nucleotide ribosomal RNA is filed under the name Acinetobacter sp. RNAcentral describes it as "bacterial SSU rRNA". It matches the Rfam family "Bacterial small subunit ribosomal RNA", at positions 55 to 1060 of the family's 1533-position model. Lineage: Bacteria; Pseudomonadati; Pseudomonadota; Gammaproteobacteria; Moraxellales; Moraxellaceae. The record is from RNAcentral.
AUCUGGCUCAGGCUGGACACCUCCUUAUGAGUUUGAUCACGUAGCGGGGGACGGGUGAGUAAUGCUUAGGAAUCUGCCUAUUAGUGGGGGACAACAUCUCGAAAGGGAUGCUAAUACCGCAUACGUCCUACGGGAGAAAGCAGGGGACCUUCGGGCCUUGCGCUAAUAGAUGAGCCUAAGUCGGAUUAGCUAGUUGGUGGGGUAAAGGCCUACCAAGGCGACGAUCUGUAGCGGGUCUGAGAGGAUGAUCCGCCACACUGGGACUGAGACACGGCCCAGACUCCUACGGGAGGCAGCAGUGGGGAAUAUUGGACAAUGGGGGGAACCCUGAUCCAGCCAUGCCGCGUGUGUGAAGAAGGCCUUUUGGUUGUAAAGCACUUUAAGCGAGGAGGAGGCUACCGAGAUUAAUACUCUUGGAUAGUGGACGUUACUCGCAGAAUAAGCACCGGCUAACUCUGUGCCAGCAGCCGCGGUAAUACAGAGGGUGCAAGCGUUAAUCGGAUUUACUGGGCGUAAAGCGCGCGUAGGUGGCCAAUUAAGUCAAAUGUGAAAUCCCCGAGCUUAACUUGGGAAUUGCAUUCGAUACUGGUUGGCUAGAGUAUGGGAGAGGAUGGUAGAAUUCCAGGUGUAGCGGUGAAAUGCGUAGAGAUCUGGAGGAAUACCGAUGGCGAAGGCAGCCAUCUGGCCUAAUACUGACACUGAGGUGCGAAAGCAUGGGGAGCAAACAGGAUUAGAUACCCUGGUAGUCCAUGCCGUAAACGAUGUCUACUAGCCGUUGGGGCCUUUGAGGCUUUAGUGGCGCAGCUAACGCGAUAAGUAGACCGCCUGGGGAGUACGGUCGCAAGACUAAAACUCAAAUGAAUUGACGGGGGCCCGCACAAGCGGUGGAGCAUGUGGUUUAUUCAUGCAACGCGAAGACCUUACCUGGUCUGACAUAUAAACUUUCCAAAUGGAUGGUGCCUUCGGGAACUUACAUACAGUGCUGCAUGGCUGUCCAGCU